UGGGGAAUAUUGGACAAUGGGCGAAAGCCUGAUCCAGCCAUGCCGCGUGUGUGAAGAAGGUCUUCGGAUUGUAAAGCACUUUAAGUUGGGAGGAAGGGCAGUAAGCGAAUACCUUGCUGUUUUGACGUUACCGACAGAAUAAGCACCGGCUAACUCUGUGCCAGCAGCCGCGGUAAUACAGAGGGUGCAAGCGUUAAUCGGAAUUACUGGGCGUAAAGCGCGCGUAGGUGGUUCGUUAAGUUGAAUGUGAAAGCCCCGGGCUCAACCUGGGAACUGGAUCCAAAACUGGCGAGCUAGAGUAGGGCAGAGGGUGGUGGAAUUUCCUGUGUAGCGGUGAAAUGCGUAGAUAUAGGAAGGAACACCAGUGGCGAAGGCGACCACCUGGGCGCAUACUGACACUGAGGUGCGAAAGCGUGGGGAGCAAACAGG
RNAcentral lists this ribosomal RNA (429 nucleotides) under Pseudomonadota bacterium. RNAcentral describes it as "Proteobacteria bacterium partial 16S ribosomal RNA". It matches the Rfam family "Bacterial small subunit ribosomal RNA", at positions 355 to 776 of the family's 1533-position model. Lineage: Bacteria; Pseudomonadati; Pseudomonadota. The record is from RNAcentral.